UGGGGAAUUUUGGACAAUGGACGCAAGUCUGAUCCAGCCAUGCCGCGUGCGGGAAGAAGGCCUUCGGGUUGUAAACCGCUUUUGUCAGGGAAGAAACGAGUUUCUCUAAUACAGAGACUUAAUGACGGUACCUGAAGAAUAAGCACCGGCUAACUACGUGCCAGCAGCCGCGGUAAUACGUAGGGUGCGAGCGUUAAUCGGAAUUACUGGGCGUAAAGCGUGCGCAGGCGGUGAUGUAAGACAGAUGUGAAAUCCCCGGGCUCAACCUGGGAACUGCGUUUGUGACUGCAUAGCUAGAGUACGGUAGAGGGGGAUGGAAUUCCGCGUGUAGCAGUGAAAUGCGUAGAUAUGCGGAGGAACACCGAUGGCGAAGGCAAUCCCCUGGACCUGUACUGACGCUCAUGCACGAAAGCGUGGGGAGCAAACA
Molecule: ribosomal RNA, 427 nt
Filed under: uncultured bacterium
Lineage: Bacteria
Description: bacterial SSU rRNA
Rfam family: Bacterial small subunit ribosomal RNA
Source: RNAcentral